UUGAACCUACGGGGGGCAGCAGUGAGGAAUAUUGGUCAAUGGACGCAGGUCUGAACCAGCCAUGCCGCGUGCAGGAAGACGGCUCUAUGAGUUGUAAACUGCUUUUGUACGAGGGUAAACGCAGAUACGUGUAUCUGUCUGAAAGUAUCGUACGAAUAAGGAUCGGCUAACUCCGUGCCAGCAGCCGCGGUAAUACGGAGGAUUCAAGCGUUAUCCGGAUUUAUUGGGUUUAAAGGGUGCGUAGGCGGAUUGAUAAGUUAGAGGUGAAAUGUCCGAGCUUAACUCGGGAACUGCCUCUAAUACUG
This 305-nucleotide ribosomal RNA is filed under the name uncultured bacterium. RNAcentral's name for it is "bacterial SSU rRNA". It matches the Rfam family "Bacterial small subunit ribosomal RNA", at positions 331 to 635 of the family's 1533-position model. The record is from RNAcentral.